This 443-nucleotide ribosomal RNA is filed under the name uncultured bacterium. RNAcentral's name for it is "partial 16S ribosomal RNA". It matches the Rfam family "Bacterial small subunit ribosomal RNA", at positions 338 to 795 of the family's 1533-position model. The record is from RNAcentral.
CCUACGGGUGACAGCAGUGGGGAAUAUUGGGCAAUGGGCGCAAGCCUGACCCAGCAACGCCGCGUGAAGGAAGAAGGCUCUCGGGUUGUAAACUUCUUUUAUCAGGGACGAAGCAAGUGACGGUACCUGAUGAAUAAGCCACGGCUAACUACGUGCCAGCAGCCGCGGUAAUACGUAGGUGGCAAGCGUUAUCCGGAUUUACUGGGUGUAAAGGGCGUGUAGGCGGGAAAGCAAGUCAGAUGUGAAAACCAUGGGCUCAACCUGUGGCCUGCAUUUGAAACUGUUUUUCUUGAGUACUGGAGAGGCAGACGGAAUUCCUAGUGUAGCGGUGAAAUGCGUAGAUAUUAGGAGGAACACCGGCGGCGAAGGCGGCCUGCUGGACCGCGACUGACGUUGAGGCUCGAAAGCGUGGGGAGCGAACAGGAUUAGAUACCCGAGUAGUC